GACGAACGCUGGCGGCGUGCUUAACACAUGCAAGUCGAACGGAGAGGCCCUGCUUUUGUGGGGUGCUCGAGUGGCGAACGGGUGAGUAACACGUGAGUAACCUGCCCUUGACUUUGGGAUAACUUCAGGAAACUGGGGCUAAUACCGGAUAGGAGCUCCUGCUGCAUGGUGGGGGUUGGAAAGUUUCGGCGGUUGGGGAUGGACUCGCGGCUUAUCAGCUUGUUGGUGGGGUAGUGGCUUACCAAGGCUUUGACGGGUAGCCGGCCUGAGAGGGUGACCGGCCACAUUGGGACUGAGAUACGGCCCAGACUCCUACGGGAGGCAGCAGUGGGGAAUAUUGCACAAUGGGCGGAAGCCUGAUGCAGCAACGCCGCGUGCGGGAUGACGGCCUUCGGGUUGUAAACCGCUUUCGCCUGUGACGAAGCGUGAGUGACGGGAAUGGGUAAAGAAGCACCGGCUACUACGUG
RNAcentral lists this ribosomal RNA (467 nucleotides) under uncultured bacterium. RNAcentral's name for it is "partial 16S ribosomal RNA". It matches the Rfam family "Bacterial small subunit ribosomal RNA", at positions 28 to 507 of the family's 1533-position model. The record is from RNAcentral.